Molecule: ribosomal RNA, 253 nt
Filed under: uncultured bacterium
Lineage: Bacteria
Description: partial 16S ribosomal RNA
Rfam family: Bacterial small subunit ribosomal RNA
Source: RNAcentral
UACGGAGGGUGCGAGCGUUGUCCGGAAUCAUUGGGCGUAAAGGGCGCGUAGGUGGCGGCUUAAGCGUGCGGUGAAAGCUCGGGGCUCAACCCCGAGUCGGCCGUGCGAACUGAGUCGCUUGAGCACUGUAGAGGCAGGCGGAAUUCCGGGUGUGAGCGGUGGAAUGCGUAGAGAUCCGGAAGAACACCGGUGGCGAAGGCGGCCUGCUGGGCAGAGCUGACACUGAGGCGCGACAGCGUGGGGAGCAACAGGA